Long non-coding RNA from Cercocebus atys (sooty mangabey), 1654 nucleotides. RefSeq lists it as uncharacterized. The transcript has 3 exons. NCBI's taxonomy places the organism in Eukaryota, Metazoa, Chordata, Mammalia, Primates, Cercopithecidae. The record is from RefSeq and is a predicted model, not a curated record.
AGGUCAGCUCAGACCCCUGCUGGUCCCCCCUUCGUUCUCGCCAGCCCCCUGCUCUGAGAAGCCUCCCCAGACUCCCACAGCUGGUGCCGACCUCAGUGGGCAAGGCCGGGGCCUGACUGCUGAGCCCAGACCCAGAGAUGAAGUCUCAGUGCCCGCUUUGGCCCUGGGCUCUGUCUGAUUUCCUGUCCCCCUCGGACCCUCCCCAAGGGAAAUGGCAGCAGCCAGCCCUCCGCAGGCGUCUGCAGGUGGGGACUCCACCCUCAACGAGCCCUGGCUCUUGGGAACCUGCCCAGUGAGGACCAGCUGGGGCCACCACCAGGACUGGGGGCCUGCAUCCCCGGGGUGACAGCCAUCAACCCACGAGGCCAGCAGGCCAGAUAGCGCCUGGGACUGGGCACACAGCGGCACGGCCCACGCCUCUCCGUGGCCCUCCUCCCAGGGGUACAGCACUCCUUCCCUUACAGGUGAGGAAGCUGAGGCUCAAAGGCUCCUACGGGUCCCAGGAUACUGAGAGAGAAGUGGGAAGGUUCACAGCCAUGAGGCCCGCGUGGUCACAUUCCACGGCCAGGCCACCGAGGGGCUCAGAAAGGUGAAGCCAGUGAGCAAAGCCACACAGCUGGCCGGGGCCAGCGCGGCACAGGCCCGCACGCUUCCUGGAGCAGGACGCAGGUGACUUGCUGCCACCAAGCAGCCGCUAGAUGAGGCUCCACCUGCCCGAGGUCCCGCUCCUUCCCCAGUGAGCUCGGCCUCCAUCAAACCAGGCCCCAGUGCAGGAGAGCUGCACAGAGUCUGCACCAAAUCCCUGGAUGUGGACAGACCUGGCUCCCAGAGCUCACCGCCCAGCACGGGGCCUGGCCAUGGCUGGUAUUCAUUAAUCACAGGGGCCGGGCGGGAGGUUCGCCCAAGAUGCAGGUACAAGAUCUUCUCAUGUAAUUCCCCCAAACUGGCCCCAUAGCACCAGGUAGCUCCGUCCAUCAACCCAAUACCUUCCAGACCUCCUCUGCAAGGCUAUCCAGAACCUUCCACAUAUUCACACACCCCCCGAACUCUCCAGAACCUGCCACACAACCGCACACCAAUGUCUCCAGGACUCUCCACACAACCACACGCCUCUCACUCUCCAGACCCUCCCGCACGCCCCUCACUCCCUAGAACCUUCCACACAACCGCACACAUCCCUUUUGGAACCGGCGGGGGAUGGUGCCUGCUUAGGGAAUUCCUGGGAAACCCCCUUAGGUUUCCCCGCAGGGAAAACCCUGUUCACGCUCCCUGAAGCUCUGUUUGGGAAGUAGGUUUCAGGAUCCUCCUGAGGGACAUCUUUUGUUUUCCUAGAAACUCUAAGGCAGCUCUGGAAGAAGUGGCCCCUGUUGGUUUAGAGCGCAGCCCACCAGAGGUACAACUUCUCUCCUGCCGGGAAGAGCUUCCCACUAGUCACCUGCAGAGUGGGCAGCGAACAGCGAGAACCAUUGUGCAGAAAGCGCAGGAGCCCUUCGCCCAGCGGCCCCCGGAAGCCUCGCCCAGCCCUGGACGGUGUACCCACCCUAGCGAGUACGAGUCCUGGCGUUUGAGGAAGCACCACUUUAGGCCGGGCGCGGUGGCUCACACCCGUAAUCCCAGCACUUUGGGAGGCCGAGGCGGGUGGAUCACCUGAGGU